This 253-nucleotide ribosomal RNA is filed under the name uncultured bacterium. RNAcentral describes it as "partial 16S ribosomal RNA". It matches the Rfam family "Bacterial small subunit ribosomal RNA", at positions 524 to 776 of the family's 1533-position model. The record is from RNAcentral.
UACGUAGGGUGCGAGCGUUGUCCGGAACUAUUGGGCGUAAAGAGCUCGUAGGUGGUUUGUCGCGUUGUUCGUGAAAACCGGGGGCUUAACCCUCGGCGUGCGGGCGAUACGGGCAGACUGGAGUACUGCAGGGGAGACUGGAAUUCCUGGUGUAGCGGUGGAAUGCGCAGAUAUCAGGAGGAACACCGGUGGCGAAGGCGGUUCUCUGGGCCUUACCUGACGCUGAGGAGCGAAAGCGUGGGGAGCGAACAGG